UCUGGCGGCAGUAGCGCGGUUGUCCCACCUGACCCCAUGCCGAACUCAGAAGUGAAACGCCGUAGCGCCGAUGGUAGUGUGGGGUCUCCCCAUGCGAGAGUAGGGAACUGCCAGAC
This 116-nucleotide ribosomal RNA is filed under the name Escherichia coli. The record is from RNAcentral. Lineage: Bacteria; Pseudomonadati; Pseudomonadota; Gammaproteobacteria; Enterobacterales; Enterobacteriaceae. RNAcentral also lists the same sequence under 1 other name.